GCCAGCGUGGCUUAGAGGAAAAGCACGACUUUCGUAAAGUCGGGAUCGUGGGUUCGAGUCCCACCGCUGGCUCUA
RNAcentral lists this transfer RNA (75 nucleotides) under Candidatus Daviesbacteria bacterium RIFCSPHIGHO2_01_FULL_41_45. RNAcentral's name for it is "tRNA-Thr". It matches the Rfam family "tRNA". Rfam says of the family: Transfer RNA (tRNA) molecules are approximately 80 nucleotides in length. Their secondary structure includes four short double-helical elements and three loops (D, anti-codon, and T loops). Lineage: Bacteria; Candidatus Daviesiibacteriota. RNAcentral also lists the same sequence under 3 other names. The record is from RNAcentral.